RNAcentral lists this unclassified non-coding RNA (343 nucleotides) under soil metagenome. Its description in RNAcentral is "partial contains 5.8S ribosomal RNA, internal transcribed spacer 2, and large subunit ribosomal RNA". The stretch from base 1 to 120 matches the Rfam family "5.8S ribosomal RNA", at positions 35 to 154 of the family's 154-position model. The record is from RNAcentral.
GAUGAAGAACGUAGCGAAAUGCGAUAAGUAAUGUGAAUUGCAGAAUUCAGUGAAUCAUCGAAUCUUUGAACGCACAUUGCGCCCGCCAGUAUUCUGGCGGGCAUGCCUGUUCGAGCGUCAUUUCAACCCUCAGGACCCUUUGGACCUGGUGUUGGGGCUCGGCCGCUACCCCGCGGCCGUCCCCGAAAGAUAGUGGCGGUCUCGCAGUAGCGUCCUCUGCGUAGUAAUUACACCUCGCACUGGAACGCGGCGCGGCCACGCCGUUAAACACCCCACUUCUCAAGGUUGACCUCGGAUCAGGUAGGAAUACCCGCUGAACUUAAGCAUAUCAAUAAGCGGAGGA